This is a long non-coding RNA of Talpa occidentalis (Iberian mole), 760 nucleotides long. RefSeq lists it as uncharacterized. NCBI's taxonomy places the organism in Eukaryota, Metazoa, Chordata, Mammalia, Eulipotyphla, Talpidae. The record is from RefSeq and is a predicted model, not a curated record. The transcript is spliced from 7 exons.
AAUGGUAUAGCAGGCGUAAUGAGACAUAUACCAAACACUUUUCCCACAAAUGUUUUUCAGGAUACCCUAGAGAUCACAGUAAACGUACUUAGGUACUUUGUGAGAGACAUUGUACUGAGUCCUUUCAGUAGGUUGCUGUAUAUGCACAGUGAGGACAUGAUGCUCUUGUGACAUCAUUUUUUUCCUUGGAUUCCUGCAACUCUCCUGGAAUCAUGAUGAACAUAACAUUGCUCAUUAAGGGAUCUUUGCUGGUAUCCAGAUAAAUAACAAUUGAACCUUAACCAAAGCACAGUCCAUCUGAUCUCCUGAUAUCUAAGUGAUGAAAAUGUCCCUGGCACUUGUAUUAACAUGGUUUUAUUUGCAAGCACUCAGGUACAUGUCUAGGGACCAUGGUGAACCUAACAAUGACUGUUAAAUGGAAAUACUCCUAGUAUCCAGGCAAGCAUUCAAAGAUGAAGUCGAAGAUGGUGUCGAUUUGGAGUACUGCAAGCUACCAGCUGAUUUGGUGGGUCCUGCUGUGAUGGUUUUGAACAGGUUAUUUCAGGAUCCAGAUAUCCACUCAAGAAUAUAGUGUCUCUCACCAAUGCCUGAAUCCUAGAUUGUUGUAUUCUUGGAGGAGAUGAUGGUGUUCCUACAACAUGAAUGAGCAUAGAAUUUUGCAGACACAUAGUCAAGAAGAUCUUUUGACUCUAUCAAAAUUGAUAUCUACACAAAUGAAAGAAAAAUGGAACACAUUUUCUUGGCUAGAUAUUUAUUUUAU